GGUUGCACCGAGGGGUGUCCCGUCAAGGGGCUGAGAUACCACUGGACGUUGUCAGCGUGGUGACCCUAGAACCUGAUCCGGAUCAUGCCGGCGAAGGGACUGGUCUAGCAGGGCUUC
RNAcentral lists this non-coding RNA (117 nucleotides) under Brachybacterium alimentarium. RNAcentral describes it as "TPP riboswitch aptamer (THI element)". It matches the Rfam family "TPP riboswitch aptamer (THI element)". Rfam says of the family: Vitamin B(1) in its active form thiamin pyrophosphate (TPP) is an essential coenzyme that is synthesised by coupling of pyrimidine and thiazole moieties in bacteria. Lineage: Bacteria; Bacillati; Actinomycetota; Actinomycetes; Micrococcales; Dermabacteraceae. The record is from Rfam by way of RNAcentral. RNAcentral also lists the same sequence under 2 other names.